GUAACUGACACACUCUCAAACACAUCCGCAGGUAACUGACACACUCUCAAACACACCCGCAGGUAACCGAAACACCUUCAAACACAUCCGCAGGUAACUACACACUCUCAAACACAUCCGCAGGUAACUAACACACUCUCAAACACAUCCGCAGGUAACUAACACACUCUCAAACACAUCCGCAGGUAACUAACACACUCUCAAACACAUCCGCAGGUAACCGAAACACCUUCAAACACAUCCGCAAGUAACUAACACACUCUCGGACAUCCGAAGGUAACCAACACACUCUCGGACAUCCGAAGGUAACCGACAUGAACUCAAAUUCGUCUGCAGGUCACCGAGGGAAACGCCCCGUUAUUUGCAACAGUGUCGAGUUUUCAAAAGAUAGAAUAAAUCAAACAUCUGAGGCACUUA
Molecule: long non-coding RNA, 417 nt
Organism: Ictalurus punctatus (channel catfish)
Lineage: Eukaryota; Metazoa; Chordata; Actinopteri; Siluriformes; Ictaluridae
Source: Ensembl